RNAcentral lists this ribosomal RNA (484 nucleotides) under uncultured bacterium. Its description in RNAcentral is "partial 16S ribosomal RNA". It matches the Rfam family "Bacterial small subunit ribosomal RNA", at positions 30 to 507 of the family's 1533-position model. The record is from RNAcentral.
AUUGAACGCUGGCGGCAGGCCUAACACAUGCAAGUCGAGCGGAUGACGGGAGCUUGCUCCUUGAUUCAGCGGCGGACGGGCGAGUAAUGCCUAGGAAUCUGCCUGGUAGUGGGGGACAACGUUUCGAAAGGAACGCUAAUACCGCAUACGUCCUACGGGAGAAAGCAGGGGACCUUCGGGCCUUGCGCUAUCAGAUGAGCCUAGGUCGGAUUAGCUUGUUGGUGAGGUAAUGGCUCACCAAGGCGACGAUCCGUAACUGGUCUGAGAGGAUGAUCAGUCACACUGGAACUGAGACACGGUCCAGACUCCUACGGGAGGCAGCAGUGGGGAAUAUUGGACAAUGGGCGAAAGCCUGAUCCAGCCAUGCCGCGUGUGUGAAGAAGGUCUUCGGAUUGUAAAGCACUUUAAGUUGGGAGGAAGGGUUGUAGAUUAAUACUCUGCAAUUUUGACGUUACCGACAGAAUAAGCACCGGCUAACUCUGUG